CGUAGGGUGCGAGCGUUAAUCGGAAUUACUGGGCGUAAAGUGUGCGCAGGUGGCCGCGCAUGUCGAGUGUGAAAUCCCCGGGCUUAACUUGGGAAUUGCGCUCGAAACUACGUGGCUGGAGUGUGGCAGAGGGAGGUGGAAUUCCACGUGUAGCGGUGAAAUGCGUAGAGAUGUGGAGGAACACCAAUGGCGAAGGCAGCCUCCUGGGCCAACACUCGACACUCAUGCACGAAAGCGUGGGGAGCAAACAGGAUUAGAUACCCUGGUAGUCCACGCCCUAAACGAUGAUGACUAGUUGUUGGGGGAGUUAAAUCCCUUAGUAACGCAGCUAACGCGCGAAGUCAUCCGCCUGGGGAGUACGGGUCGCAAGAUUAA
RNAcentral lists this ribosomal RNA (375 nucleotides) under uncultured organism. RNAcentral's name for it is "bacterial SSU rRNA". It matches the Rfam family "Bacterial small subunit ribosomal RNA", at positions 526 to 897 of the family's 1533-position model. The record is from RNAcentral.